UUCCGGUUGAUCCUGCCGGACCCGACUGCUAUUUGGGUGAGGAUAAGCCAUGCGAGUUGAAUGGGAAACCUAAAGUUCCCAUGGCAAACUGCUCAGUAACACAUGAUCAACUUACCCUAUAGAGAAAAAUAACCUCGGGAAACUGAGGAUAAUGUUUCAUAGUUGAAUUGGCUUGGAAAAGUUUUUCGACGAAAGGGGUAAAAAAAAUGGUUUUUAUCUGCUAUAGGAUAGGAUCGUGUUCGAUUAUGGUUGUUGGUGAGGUAAUGGCUCACCAAGCCGAUAAUCGAUAGGGCCGUGAGAGCGGGAGCCCCGAGAUGGGUACUGAGACAACGACCCAGGCCUUACGAGGCGCAGCAGGCGCGAAACCUCCGCAAUACACGAAAGUGUGACGGGGUUACCCAAAGUGUUCAAUUUUGAACUGUGGUAGGUGAGUAAUGUUCCCUACUAGAAAGGAGAGGGCAAGGCUGGUGCCAGCCGCCGCGGUAAAACCAGCUCUUCAAGUGGUCGGGAUAAUUAUUGGGCUUAAAGUGUCCGUAGCCGGUUUGGUAAGUUCCUGGUAAAAUCGGGUAGCUUAACUAUCUAUAUGCUAGGAAUACUACUAUACUAGAGGGCGGGAGAGGUCUGAGGUACUACAGGGGUAGGGGUGAAAUCUUAUAAUCCUUGUUGAACCACCAGUGGCGAAGGCGUCAGACUGGAACGCGCCUGACGGUGAGGGACGAAUGCCAGGGGAGCGAACCGGAUUAGAUACCCGGGUAGUCCUGGCCGUAAACGAUGCAUACUAGGUGAUGGCACGGCCAUGAGCCGUGUCAGUGCCGUAGGGAAACCGUUAAGUGUGUCGCCUGGGAAGUACGGUCGCAAGGCUAAAACUUAAAGGAAUUGGCGGGGGAGCACCACAAGGGGUGAAGCCUGCGGUUCAAUUGGAUUCAACGCCGGA
RNAcentral lists this ribosomal RNA (934 nucleotides) under uncultured archaeon. Its description in RNAcentral is "bacterial SSU rRNA". It matches the Rfam family "Archaeal small subunit ribosomal RNA", at positions 1 to 922 of the family's 1478-position model. The record is from RNAcentral.